This 1438-nucleotide ribosomal RNA is filed under the name metagenome. Its description in RNAcentral is "bacterial SSU rRNA". It matches the Rfam family "Archaeal small subunit ribosomal RNA". The record is from RNAcentral.
ACCCGUUGAUCCUGCGGGAGGUCGCUGCUAUCAGAAUUCGACUUAACUAAGCUAGCCCAGGGGCUUCUUCGGAAGCACCGGCAGACAGUUCCGUAACACGUAGAUAAUCUACCCUUAGGUCAGGGAUAACCUUGGAAAACUGAGGCUAAUACCUGAUAGGAGAAAGAUACUGGAAUGUACUCUCUCCCAAAGGUUACGCCUAAGGAUGAGUCUGCGGCUGAUUAGGCUGUUGGUGGGGUAAUGGCCCACCAAACCUAAGAUCAGUAGGGGCCUUGAGAGAGGUAGCCCCGAGGAGGACACUGAGAUAAGGGUCCUGACUCUACGGAGUAUAGCAAGUGCGAAACCUUUACAAUACAUGAAAGUGUGAUAAGGGGAUUCUGAGUGCCUAUGCGUUGCAUAGGCUUUUUGCCGAGAGUAAAAAUCUCGGAGAAUAAGUGGUGGGCAAGACUGGUGCCAGCAGCCGCGGUAACACCAGCGCCACAAGUGGGGACCCGUAUUAUUGGGCCUAAAGCGUCCGUAGCCGGUUUAGUAAAUCUUAUGUGAAAUCGUAGGGCUUAACCUUACGGCGUGCAAAAGACACUACUAAACUUGAGACCGGGAGGAGUCAGAGGUAUUUCUUGGGUAGCGGUAAAAUGCAAUAAUCCAAGGAGGACCACCUGUGGCGAAGGCGUCUGACUAGAACGGAUCUGACGGUGAGGGACGAAAGCCAGGGGAGCGAACCGGAUUAGAUACCCGAGUAGUCCUGGCCGUAAACGCUGCGAGCUAGGUGUUGCAUGUUCCUCGAGAAUAUGCAGUGUCGAAGCGAAGGCGAUAAGCUCGCCGCCUGGGAAGUACGGUCGCAAGACUGAAACUUAAAGGAAUUGGCGGGGGAGCACAACAAGGGGUGCGGCGUGCGGUUUAAUCCAACUCAACACGGAGAAUCUCACCAGAGGCGACGGCAGAAUGAAAGUCAGGUUGAAGACCUUACUCAACAAGCCGAGAGGUGGUGCAUGGCCGUCGUCAGCUCGUGCUGUGAAGUGUCCUGUUAAGUCAGGCAACGAGCGAGACCUGUACCUACAAUUGCCAUCAGCUGAAUUUCAGGACUGGGCACAUUGUAGGGACUGCCCGUGAAAACGGGAGGAAGGUGCAGGCAACGGUAGGUCUGUAUGCCCCGAAUCCUCUGGGCUACACGCGCGCAACAAUGGUAGGGAUAAUGGGAUACAACUCCGAAAGGAGAAGUUAAACCUCGAAACCCUAUCUCAAUUCAGAUUGAGGAUUGUAACUCAUCCUCAUGACGACGGAAUCCCUAGUAAUCAGAUGUUAUCAUCAUCUGGUGAAUAUGUCCCUGCUCCUUGCACACACCGCCCGUCAAACCAACCGAGCAGGGUUAAGGUGAAACCUAGUUUCUUAAUUAGGUUGAAUCUUGACUCAGUGAGGUGGGUUAAGUCGUCACAAGGUA